GACGAACGCUGGCGGCGUGCUUAACACAUGCAAGUCGAACGGAAAGGCCCUGCUUUUGUGGGGUGCUCGAGUGGCGAACGGGUGAGUAACACGUGAGUAACCUGCCCUUGACUUUGGGAUAACUUCAGGAAACUGGGGCUAAUACCGGAUAGGAGCUCCUGCUGCAUGGUGGGGGUGGGAAAGUUUCGGCGGUUGGGGGUGGACUCGCGGCGUAUCAGCUUGUUGGUGGGGUAGUGGCUUACCAAGGCUUUGACGGGUAGCCGGCCUGAGAGGGUGACAGGCCACAUUGGGACUGAGCUGCGGCCCAGCCUCCUACGGGAGGCAGCAGUGGGGAAUAGUGUACAAUGGGCGGAAGCCUGACGCAGCCCCGCCGCGUGGGGGAUGACGGCCUUCGGGUUGUAAAGCGCUUUCGCCUGUGACGAAGCGUGAGUGACGGUAAUGGGUAAAGAAGCACCGGCUAACUCCGUG
Molecule: ribosomal RNA, 468 nt
Filed under: uncultured bacterium
Lineage: Bacteria
Description: partial 16S ribosomal RNA
Rfam family: Bacterial small subunit ribosomal RNA
Source: RNAcentral